Molecule: ribosomal RNA, 372 nt
Filed under: uncultured organism
Description: bacterial SSU rRNA
Rfam family: Bacterial small subunit ribosomal RNA
Source: RNAcentral
CAGAGGGUGCAAACGUUGUUCGGAAUUACUGGGCGUAAAGCGUGUGUAGGCGGUCUCGUAAGUCGGAUGUGAAAGCCCUGGGCUCAACCCAGGAAGUGCACUCGAAACUGCGAGGCUAGAGUAUCGGAGAGGUUGGUGGAAUUCUCGGUGUAGAGGUGAAAUUCGUAGAUAUCGAGAGGAACACCGGUGGCGAAGGCGGCCAACUGGACGAAUACUGACGCUGAGACACGAAAGCGUGGGGAGCAAACAGGAUUAGAUACCCUGGUAGUCCACGCCGUAAACGAUGGGUGCUAGGUGUCGCGGGCUUUGACUCCUGCGGUGCCGUAGCUAACGCAUUAAGCACCCCGCCUGGGAAGUACGGCCGCAAGGCUA